AUAGAAUUAGGGAUUAGACUUUGCUAAUGGUGUUGUAAUUUUGUUGGAUGUCAAAUUUUUUCCACUUUCUAUAUUUUCUUUCUUUUAUUAAAAAGAAUUAGUAGCCAAUCCCCUUGUGUGGGAUUCUUAUACAUGUUGGUUUCUCAAUCACCAAUGCUAUAGAUGGAGCUCAAUUGGGGCUUUAGAGUUAGACAUGUAAUUGCAGCCGACUUACCCUGAUACCAACAAUCCAGUCUAUAGAAUUAGGGAUUAGACUUUAUCAUAUGGAGAAAGAGUGUAUUCAACUUGAUCACUGCAAAUUUUAGGUUUUCAGAAUUCAGGAAAGAAUUAAUUUGAAGAUAUUUGAAGAUUAGG
Molecule: unclassified non-coding RNA, 354 nt
Filed under: Hevea brasiliensis (rubber tree)
Lineage: Eukaryota; Viridiplantae; Streptophyta; Magnoliopsida; Malpighiales; Euphorbiaceae
Source: RNAcentral